Molecule: RNA transcript, 1571 nt
Organism: Vespula pensylvanica (western yellowjacket)
Lineage: Eukaryota; Metazoa; Arthropoda; Insecta; Hymenoptera; Vespidae
Exons: 7
Source: RefSeq, a predicted model, not a curated record
AGCAUUAUUUACUUUAAAAAUAUCUUAUUUAUAAAGUCAACGUACAAGUCUGUUUUUUAUAUCACAUAUCCAUUAAACAAUAAUGACAAACUAGUUUUAUCGAGAUUAAAAGGAAUGAAAGUUAAACGAAGUAUUGUAUAUACAUAAAAUAUAUGUACAUACGAUGGUUACUUUCACAAUAUUAAAUUGCUAUUUUCUUUUGAUUAAUAUAAAUCGAAUCUUUAUAAUGGCGAAUGUCGAAGUGUAAUAAACAUAGCGAAACGUAAACAAAAGUGCUAAUGGAUGAUCUCAUUACGUAUUAAUACUCCUUGAUAGAUCAAUCUAUUAAAGAGAGUAUACACGUAGGACAUUGUAAGCACGUUUGGAAUAUAAUGGUACGUAAUACUUGAAUACGGCACAGUGAGUGUAGAAUCGUAUAAUGGCAACUAUGUCGAGUAAUUUAGCUAACGCUUUUUUCCCUCUAGAACUAAUUUUAAAAUUCUUUGCACUCGGAAAUUUCGAAAAUCUUCCCGGAAAACUAAACACAUAUUUCAGUAACUUGUAUGUAAUAAUUAUCUGGCUUAUUUACUUCAGCAUUUCCAUUUAUUUGCAGAAUCACAACUUCAUUUGUCAAGACAUAAUAGGUUUUAUAAUGUUUAAUACUAAAUUAUUUACUAUGAUGAUAACAGUGAUCGGUUCGCAAUAUUAUAAGCAAAGAUGGAAACGAUGCUUGGACAAAAUUACUAUGAUAAACGAUACACUGGAAAGACUUCAUAUUCCAAAUAAAUAUCAAAGUUUACAUAAUAGAAUAAAGCGUAAUAUUCUCAUAUGGAUAUUAGUUUCUGUCAGUAUAAAUAUAACAGAGUUAUCAUGGUACAAGGAUAGCUUAAAAGAGAUGAAACCAUAUUUAUUCUUAUUUGUAAUAAAUCAUUGUUCAGUUGCUAAUAACUUGAUGGACCUGAAAUAUGAAUCUGUUAUUUGGUAUACGGCGUCGAUCUUUGAAAAAAUUAACAAGUAUAUUUUACAUUUAACCACGAACAAAAAUUCAGAAGCAACACGGAUAAGCACAGCUUUCAAAAGAUCAAAUUACCAACGUUUCAUCGAUACUCCUCACCAUAAACAAAGUCUAUUAACAAUAAUGCACGUACACCUGGAACUUUCAAAAACAUGUUAUGAAUUCCACGAAACGUUCCAAAUACAACUAACCACUGACAUGAUGACUCAAUUUAUAUACGUACUGGGAUUUGUACAGGCACAGCAUACAUAUUUUUCAUUCAAAUUAUCGUAUAUAUUUGAUUUUAUACCCGUAGUAUUGUCGAUAGCUAUAUCAUUCUUUAAAGUGAUAUUUCUAAAUAACACCAUCGAAAAAUGUUGCACAAAGAUAAAACAUACGGAGCACGCGCUUCAUAUUUUGAGAGAUUUCACCUACGAUUCAGAAAGACAAGAAGAGAUUUUCCAAUUUAUUCUACAAAUUACACAAAAAUGACUAAGGCUUUCCGGGCUGGGUCUAUUUGAUUUUGGCCAUCACUUCGUUUACAAGUAUUUCGUGAUUAUGAUAGAUUGCAUUAUUAUCAUCGAGCAACUGAAUGAUU